RNAcentral lists this ribosomal RNA (433 nucleotides) under uncultured bacterium. RNAcentral's name for it is "partial 16S ribosomal RNA". It matches the Rfam family "Bacterial small subunit ribosomal RNA", at positions 29 to 507 of the family's 1533-position model. The record is from RNAcentral.
AACGAACGCUGGCGGCAUGCCUAACACAUGCAAGUCGAACGAGACCUUCGGGUCUAGUGGCGCACGGGUGCGUAACGCGUGGGAACCUGCCCUUAGGUUCGGAAUAACUCCCCGAAAGGGGUGCUAAUACCGGAUAAUGUCUUCGGACCAAAGAUUUAUCGCCUUUGGAUGGGCCCGCGUUGGAUUAGCUAGUUGGUAGGGUAAAAGCCUACCAAGGCGACGAUCCAUAGCUGGUCUGAGAGGAUGAUCAGCCACACUGGGACUGAGACACGGCCCAGACUCCUACGGGAGGCAGCAGUGGGGAAUAUUGGACAAUGGGCGAAAGCCUGAUCCAGCAAUGCCGCGUGAGUGAUGAAGGCCUUAGGGUUGUAAAGCUCUUUUACCCGGGAUGAUAAUGACAGUACCGGGAGAAUAAUCUCCGGCUAACUCCGUG